CGAGGGGCAUCGAGUGUAGCAAUACAUGUCGGCGACCGGCGAAAGGGUGAGUAACGCGUGAGCAACAUACCCGGUGACGGGGGAUAGGAGGUGGAAACGCCUUGUAAUACCCCAUAAGAUACGGAGCGGCAUCGUUCUGUAUUGAAAGAUUGAUUGUCAGCGGAUUGGUUCGCGUGCCAUUAGGUAGACGGCGGGGUAACGGCCCACCGUGCCGACGAUGGCUAGGGGUUCUGAGAGGAAGGUCCCCCACAUUGGAACUGAGACACGGUCCAGACUCCUACGGGAGGCAGCAGUGAGGAAUAUUGGUCAAUGGCCGAGAGGCUGAACCAGCCAUGCCGCGUGAAGGAUGAAGGCCCUAUGGGUCGUAAACUUCUUUUGUCGUGGAGCAAUAAGGGUCACGCGUGGCCCGAUGAGAGUACACGUCGAAUAAGCAUCGGCUAACUCCGUGCCAGCAGCCGCGGUAAUACGGAGGAUGCGAGCGUUAUCCGGAUUUAUUGGGUUUAAAGGGUGCGUAGGCGGUCGGGUAAGCGUAGGGUGAAAGUCCUCUGCUCAACAGAGGAAGUGCCUUCCGAACUGUCCGACUGGAAUGCUCCUGCCGUGGGAGGAAUGUGUGGUGUAGCGGUGAAAUGCAUAGAGAUCACACAGAACACCGAUUGCGAAGGCAUCUCACGAAGGGGCUAUUGACGCUGAGGCACGAAAAGCGUGGGGAUCAAACAGGAUUAGAUACCCUGGGUAGUCCACGCAGUAAACGAUGAUGACUAACCGUCGGUC
Molecule: ribosomal RNA, 771 nt
Filed under: uncultured bacterium
Lineage: Bacteria
Description: bacterial SSU rRNA
Rfam family: Bacterial small subunit ribosomal RNA
Source: RNAcentral